AGCGUAGGCGGGCUUCUAAGUUAGGUGUUUAAUCCCGGGGCCCAACCCCGGUCGUGCACCUAAAACUGGGAGUCUUGAAUAGGGGAGAGGUCAGUGGAAUUGGAGGUGUAGCGGUGGAAUGCGUAGAGAUCUCCAAGAACACCAGUUGCGAAGGCGGCUGACUGGACCCAUAUUGACGCUGAGGCUCGAAAGCAUGGGGAGAAC
Molecule: ribosomal RNA, 204 nt
Filed under: uncultured bacterium
Lineage: Bacteria
Description: partial 16S ribosomal RNA
Rfam family: Bacterial small subunit ribosomal RNA
Source: RNAcentral